ACUGGAUGAACAACUGCACCGAGGACUGGGAUCUCAACUCAAGCUUUGGUCCUGGAAACUGCUGGAGAUUAACAGACAAAUUCAAAAAGGAAUUUAUCACCAUUUCAGACAAUCUUUAAAAAAAAACAUGUUGGCAGUUUUUCUCUGUCAACACUUGCUAUUUAUUCACCAUAAUUAUGAUUUUAUGAUUUCACUUAAUUCAAACAACCUGGAGGGAAAUGAUUGAAGUUGCAACCCCAAACCCAGCACAGCAGGGCGUAGGGGGAGAUGAUGACAACUUCCCGCCAGCAUACUACAGGAGAGUUGGCAGGCCCGCGGAGCUGCUCCUGCUCACGAGGUGUACUGGGCAGGACCAAUGAGAGCUGGUGUAGUGGCAGUUCUUCUGUAUAAUUAUCUACUGACCAGAGAUGAGUCCUUCAUUGAAAAAACAGGAAUCCUCUUUUGCUGCGGAUCAUCACAGGUGUGAGGAUGUUACACAACGAUCAAGAGCAAGUUGAAAUAACUACUGUACACUGCUUAUUUAUAUCAAAUAAAAUACUUUUUCAACAUAACAGCGGUAGACUUUUUAACAGUCUCCAGACAUUUGAAUUUCUGAGACAAAUGUAGGCACUUUUCAAAAAUCUAUUUGAUUUUUGUUCGGACUGUCAGAAGAGUUAAUGCCUGAUACAUUUUGAGGCCUUCGGUGUUGUGAAGGGAAUAUCCUGCUCAGUCAGUGUUCGUGAGGCUCUACUUGAGACCAUUGGUCUUUUGCCAAUACAGUUUUCCUGUGUUUGGGAGGAAUUGACGUGAUUCAAGACUUGUCCUCCAUACUUUGUUACAUAAUUUAGCGUUGUGUGUGCCAGGGUCAGGAAGCGCGUGCAGCACAUCAGUUGCAACGACGGCUACGCGAG
Molecule: long non-coding RNA, 890 nt
Filed under: Cottoperca gobio
Lineage: Eukaryota; Metazoa; Chordata; Actinopteri; Perciformes; Bovichtidae
Description: lncRNA (ENSCGOG00000001705.1)
Source: RNAcentral